GAUGAACGCUGGCGGCGUGCCUAAUACAUGCAAGUCGAGCGAACGGACGAGAAGCUUGCUUCUCUGAUGUUAGCGGCGGACGGGUGAGUAACACGUGGAUAACCUACCUAUAAGACUGGGAUAACUUCGGGAAACCGGAGCUAAUACCGGAUGAUAUUUUGAACCGCAUGGUUCAAAAGUGAAAGACGGUCUUGCUGUCACUUAUAGAUGGAUCCGCGCUGCAUUAGCUAGUUGGUAAGGUAACGGCUUACCAAGGCAACGAUGCAUAGCCGACCUGAGAGGGGGAGCGGCAACACGGAAAAUGAGAACCGGCAAAGACGCAGAAGGGAGGAAGAAGAAGGGAAUCUUCGGAAGUGGGGAAAAGCAGGAGGGAAAAGCGCGGAGGGGGUGAGAAAGGUGUUGGGAUCGAAAAACUGGUUUAUGAGGGAAAAAAAUAGGUGAAAGUAAUUGUGCAAUUCUGGAGGGAACAAAAGAAAAAAGCCAGGGAAAACAAGGUG
This 497-nucleotide ribosomal RNA is filed under the name uncultured bacterium. Its description in RNAcentral is "partial 16S ribosomal RNA". It matches the Rfam family "Bacterial small subunit ribosomal RNA", at positions 28 to 507 of the family's 1533-position model. The record is from RNAcentral.